This 300-nucleotide ribosomal RNA is filed under the name uncultured bacterium. Its description in RNAcentral is "bacterial SSU rRNA". It matches the Rfam family "Bacterial small subunit ribosomal RNA", at positions 28 to 323 of the family's 1533-position model. The record is from RNAcentral.
GAUAAACGCUAGCGGCAUGCCUAAUACAUGCAAGUCGAACGCUCUCGAUCUUCGGAUCAAUGAGAGAGUGGCGAACGGGUGAGUAACACGUAAGAAACCUGCCCCAAAGUCGAGGAUAACCAUUGGAAACGAUGGCUAAUACUGGAUAGGAUAUAAAACCGCAUGGUUUAAUAUUUAAAGGUGCGUUUGCACCGCUAUGGGAUGGUCUUGCGCUGCAUUAGCUAGUUGGUAGGGUAACGGCCUACCAAGGCGACGAUGCAUAGCUGGUCUGAGAGGAUGAACAGCCACACCGGGACUGAG